AUGAUGUCCAUCACCAAGCCGGAACACUCCGAGGCCAACCCUCAGUGCCAGACUGUCAGCCGGCCGGUGGCUGAGCCCGAGACCCCCGCUGUUCACAAUAAUAGUGGAGGCUGGCUCAGCUGGGUCUUGGGAGUGGAAGAGUUAAUAAGAAGGAGAUUAAUCUACCUGAGGACAAAGACAGAUCUAUUGUCUGGGAUCCAACUCUGCACAGAUGGGUUAACAAAACUGAGCCCAACAUUCGCCUUCCUCUCCUCUGAAGACCCAGUGAGGGUGGAGCUCAGAGAGCUGUUGAGGGACUGGUUAGGAAGAACACUUCUACAGCCAGAGAGAUGAGAGGUCACAGAUGGUUUAAAUGGUAAAUAUUUAUGUCCCUUUAGUGGUUCAUCACGUAAGCAAAAGGGA
This 402-nucleotide long non-coding RNA is filed under the name Oncorhynchus kisutch (coho salmon). RNAcentral's name for it is "lncRNA (ENSOKIG00005008198.1)". The record is from RNAcentral. Lineage: Eukaryota; Metazoa; Chordata; Actinopteri; Salmoniformes; Salmonidae.